AUAAUGCCGAAAUGGGAGGACUCAUAAUCCUUUGGUUCCAGGUUCGAAUCCUGGUGGGCCCACCA
RNAcentral lists this transfer RNA (65 nucleotides) under Xanthomonas arboricola. RNAcentral describes it as "tRNA-OTHER". It matches the Rfam family "tRNA", at positions 11 to 71 of the family's 71-position model. From Rfam's summary of the family: Transfer RNA (tRNA) molecules are approximately 80 nucleotides in length. Their secondary structure includes four short double-helical elements and three loops (D, anti-codon, and T loops). The record is from RNAcentral. Lineage: Bacteria; Pseudomonadati; Pseudomonadota; Gammaproteobacteria; Lysobacterales; Lysobacteraceae.